RNAcentral lists this small RNA (959 nucleotides) under Pan troglodytes (chimpanzee). RNAcentral's name for it is "retained intron". Lineage: Eukaryota; Metazoa; Chordata; Mammalia; Primates; Hominidae. The record is from RNAcentral.
CCUCUGUAUGGAAACUUGUUUCAGGGCCAAAUCCUUGUAGCUGUCUUCUUGCCCCGGUCAGUGCCAGCCGUACUAUUCACAACACUGCUGCUACCGAGGCCUAGGAUCAGUUCUUAAGAGCAGCCCCGGUAACUGGAGGAAUGGGAGCCGUUUUGAUGAGAAAAAUGGGCUGGAGAGAAGGAGAAGGAUUAGGAAAAAACAAAGAAGGCAAUAAGGAACCCAUCCUAGUUGAUUUUAAGACAGACCGAAAAGGUCUUGUUGCAGUAGGAGAAAGAGCACAAAAGAGGUCUGGGAACUUCUCUGCUGCAAUGAAAGAUCUGUCAGGCAAACAUCCUGUGUCUGCUUUGAUGGAGAUCUGUAAUAAAAGAAGGUGGCAACCACCUGAAUUUCUAUUGGUCCAUGAUAGUGGCCCUGAUCAUCGCAAACAUUUUCUCUUUAGGGUAUUGAGAAAUGGAAGCCCUUACCAGCCCAAUUGUAUGUUUUUCUUGAAUAGGUAUUGAUAAAUGGAAGCGCUUACCAGCCCAGCUUUGCCAGCCCUAAUAAGAAGCAUGCUAAAGCCACAGCAGCUACUGUGGUUCUUCAAGCAAUGGGCCUUGUACCAAAGGACCUCAUGGCUAAUGCCACUUGCUUCAGGAGUGCCUCACGUAGAUAGAUUGAGGUUUUAUAAUAAUCAUUUCAGAUAAUUUUACUCUGCAUCACAAUGUAUUUCCUCUUUAAUGUUGUAAAUAUUUGGCAAUUUAAGACAUUGUGUAAAAAGCAAUCUGUAAAAACAUCUCCAGGCUUUGAUUUUUGUACCAUGGAAAUUGUAUUUAACCAUACAGGGUUUUGGUAUGUUUAUAUUGUUUACCUUAGUGAUGUAUUUGUUUAAGUGGCUAACAUCCAAACGACUGUUUGAAGGCAUCAGAGUAAUCUUCAGUGUGGAAUGUUAAAUAACGCUUUUAUACUGUAUUUUGUACUAU